CACGUAGGCGGAUAUUUAAGUCAGGGGUGAAAUCCCAGAGCUCAACUCUGGAACUGCCUUUGAUACUGGGUAUCUUGAGUAUAGAAGAGGUAAGUGGAAUUCCGAGUGUAGAGGUGAAAUUCGUAGAUAUUCGGAGGAACACCAGUGGCGAAGGCGGCUUACUGGUCCAUUACUGACGCUGAGGUGCGAAAGCGUGGGGAGCAAACA
Molecule: ribosomal RNA, 207 nt
Filed under: uncultured bacterium
Lineage: Bacteria
Description: partial 16S ribosomal RNA
Rfam family: Bacterial small subunit ribosomal RNA
Source: RNAcentral